Molecule: ribosomal RNA, 497 nt
Filed under: uncultured bacterium
Lineage: Bacteria
Description: partial 16S ribosomal RNA
Rfam family: Bacterial small subunit ribosomal RNA
Source: RNAcentral
GAUGAACGCUGGCGGCGUGCCUAAUACAUGCAAGUCGAGCGAACAGACGAGGAGCUUGCUCCUCUGACGUUAGCGGCGGACGGGUGAGUAACACGUGGAUAACCUACCUAUAAGACUGGGAUAACUUCGGGAAACCGGAGCUAAUACCGGAUAAUAUAUUGAACCGCAUGGUUCAAUAGUGAAAGACGGUUUUGCUGUCACUUAUAGAUGGAUCCGCGCCGCAUUAGCUAGUUGGUAAGGUAACGGCUUACCAAGGCAACGAUGCGUAGCCGACCUGAGAGGGUGAUCGGCCACACUUGAACUGAGACACGGUCCAGACUCCUACGGGAGGCAGCAGUAGGGAAUCUUCCGCAAAGGGCGAAAGCCUGGCGGAGCAACGCCGCGUGAGUGAUGAAGGUCUUCGGAUCGUAAAACUCUGUUAUUAGGGAAGAACAAAUGUGUAAGUAACUAUGCACGUCUUGACGGUACCUAAUCAGAAAGCCACGGCUAACUACGUG